Molecule: ribosomal RNA, 446 nt
Filed under: uncultured bacterium
Lineage: Bacteria
Description: partial 16S ribosomal RNA
Rfam family: Bacterial small subunit ribosomal RNA
Source: RNAcentral
GUGGGGAAUAUUGGACAAUGGGGGGAACCCUGAUCCAGCCAUGCCGCGUGGAGGAAGACUGCCCUCUGGGUUGUAAACUCCUUUUAUAUGGGAAGAACCGUCCUCAUUAAUGAGUGACCUGACGGUACCAUAGGAAUAAGCACCGGCUAACUCCGUGCCAGCAGCCGCGGUAAUACGGAGGGUGCAAGCGUUAUCCGGAUUCACUGGGUUUAAAGGGUGCGUAGGCGGAUAAAUAAGUCAGUGGUGAAAUCAACGGGCUCAACCUGUUAACUGCCAUUGAUACUGUGUAUCUUGAAUAUGAGAGAGGUAGGCGGAAUGUUGCAUGUAGCGGUGAAAUGCUUAGAUAUGCUACGGAACACCGAUUGCGAAGGCAGCUUACUAUUUCGUAAUUGACGCUGAGGCACGAAAGCGUGGGUAGCGAACAGGAUUAGAAACCCCAGUAGUCC